Rattus norvegicus (Norway rat) is the source of this 1653-nucleotide non-coding RNA. NCBI's taxonomy places the organism in Eukaryota, Metazoa, Chordata, Mammalia, Rodentia, Muridae. The record is from RefSeq and is a predicted model, not a curated record.
AGUCACCUAGAUAACAGAUUGCCUAACAUAAAGAGCUGUGUUUGGUUUCAAGGUAAUUCUAGUUCAUCUGGUGGUUUAUUAGCUGUGAUCAAAUCUGGCUGAAAGUGUCCAGAAGGACAGAGAAAGGGCGGAAAAUCAAAGACCUCACCUUGCCUACAUCUACACAGCCAAGACUGCCACAAAACAAGAGACAGAGUCUGCAUUAAAGCAGACACAAGAUAUAGACAUAAGUUGCCUGUUCUGCACCCAUGGAACUUCCUGGACGUCCAUUCGCUUUCUGACCUUUCCUGCCCAUGCUUCAGACGGAGCAACCCAUUCUUCAUGGCCUUCCAGGCUGUCACGUCUGUUGUUCGCCGUCCGUGGACACCAAAGUGGAGAGCUGGCUCUCCUUGAAACAGCUUGAGAAAAAUUCCAAUGUGGCUCCCGGUUCUGACCUCCCGAGGACUUUCGGACAGAGCAAAUACAUCUCUGCAAAGUCAGAUGUUUAAGGCGAAGGCUAAAACGAAGUCCGAGCUUUUACUUUAGACUUUGCCCGUCAGCCUGCCGUCUUCCCAGGCUUACUUCCCGCCUCCCCUCUGUCUUAACCAGAUCACACCAGGCUCUCUCGGUUCCUGCUGCUUUCCCGAAUCCUCAUCCCUGAAGUCUCAGCGCACCUGUCCUGUCACCUCCAUGAAACUCCUGCAUCACCCUGUUUGGACGUAAUCUGAGCUCGCUGGGCUCUUCCUACCUCACGGGGCUUUUCUUCUGCUCUUGUGAUGGUCCGUGUGUGAAGCAAGACCCAUACGAAAAGGAUCCUGUGUAGGAGGCUUGGCCGUGGUUGAGGGCGCCGUUGAAGAUGAUUGAAUGUUAAGUGUGUUAACCUCUCCUGGCUUUUAGAUGAGGCCUAUAGGUUGCCGGGAGCAUCAAUUUGGAAGGUAUCUUUUUUUUUCUUUUAACUUUUUAUUGAUUUUUUUAUGAGUUUUACAUUAUGCACCCCAGUUCUUCUCAGCCCCCUGUCCCUUCAUAUCCACCCUUCGUCCUUGCAACCCCCCCCAAAAAAUAAAAAAUGCACAAAUAAGCAAACAACAACAACAAAAAAUAAGCAAAAAAAACCCAAAGCACAGAAAGCCUCUCAUCACGGAAGCUGGAGGGUGUCCCAGAAUAUAUAUCCCUCUGUUCGUUGCGCUGAGUCAUUGUUCUGGUUAGAGAUCUCUGGCUUCUGUGACACCAUCAAUAUUGGAUCCUCACCGGGCCUCCUCCCAGUUAUCCUGUGUUGGCCUGUGUCAUAGAGAUCUGGCAGCUUUGGAUCAGCAGUCCUGGCCUUUGCAUGUGUCCCAACCAUCCAUAGAUAACGGAUUUUUGGGCAUAAAACAGCUUUGGCCACCUUCCUUGAAAUCAAACUAUACUAAACAAAGAACUGCCAUCCACUCUGCCCCUAACAACACUACUGACAAGUGUUCUGCCUCGCUCCGGUCCCACCACGAUGGAGUCAGCCUUCAAUAAACAAAAACCUUCAAGUCAUGGGCCCAAAUACAUCUCUCCCCCACCCCACGACGGCAUCCAUCUCAGAUGCUUUCAGGAGUGAUGUAAAGUGACCAACUCGCUGUCUUAUUCUACAGGCUCUCAUAAAACCCGUCUCCCGGACCGACAAUAAAUUAUCUGUAGUAAGACCUC